This 329-nucleotide ribosomal RNA is filed under the name Clostridioides difficile. RNAcentral's name for it is "bacterial SSU rRNA". It matches the Rfam family "Bacterial small subunit ribosomal RNA", at positions 1042 to 1372 of the family's 1533-position model. The record is from RNAcentral. Lineage: Bacteria; Bacillati; Bacillota; Clostridia; Peptostreptococcales; Peptostreptococcaceae.
UGCAUGGUUGUCGUCAGCUCGUGUCGUGAGAUGUUGGGUUAAGUCCCGCAACGAGCGCAACCCUUGUCUUUAGUUGCCAUCAUUAAGUUGGGCACUCUAGAGAGACUGCCAGGGAUAACCUGGAGGAAGGUGGGGAUGACGUCAAAUCAUCAUGCCCCUUAUGCUUAGGGCUACACACGUGCUACAAUGGGUAGUACAGAGGGUUGCCAAGCCGUAAGGUGGAGCUAAUCCCUUAAAGCUACUCUCAGUUCGGAUUGUAGGCUGAAACUCGCCUACAUGAAGCUGGAGUUACUAGUAAUCGCAGAUCAGAAUGCUGCGGUGAAUGCGUU